UUAAGCGACUAAGCGUACACGGUGGAUGCCCUGGCAGUCAGAGGCGAUGAAGGACGUGCUAAUCUGCGAUAAGCGUCGGUAAGGUGAUAUGAACCGUUAUAACCGGCGAUUUCCGAAUGGGGAAACCCAGUGUGUUUCGACACACUAUCAUUAACUGAAUCCAUAGGUUAAUGAGGCGAACCGGGGGAACUGAAACAUCUAAGUACCCCGAGGAAAAGAAAUCAACCGAGAUUCCCCCAGUAGCGGCGAGCGAACGGGGAGGAGCCCAGAGCCUGAAUCAGUGUGUGUGUUAGUGGAAGCGUCUGGAAAGGCGUGCGAUACAGGGUGACAGCCCCGUACACAAAAAUGCACAUACUGUGAGCUCGAUGAGUAGGGCGGGACACGUGGUAUCCUGUCUGAAUAUGGGGGGACCAUCCUCCAAGGCUAAAUACUCCUGACUGACCGAUAGUGAACCAGUACCGUGAGGGAAAGGCGAAAAGAACCCCGGCGAGGGGAGUGAAAAAGAACCUGAAACCGUGUACGUACAAGCAGUGGGAGCCUCUUAAUGGGGUGACUGCGUACCUUUUGUAUAAUGGGUCAGCGACUUAUAUUCUGUAGCAAGGUUAACCGAAUAGGGGAGCCGAAGGGAAACCGAGUCUUAACUGGGCGUUAAGUUGCAGGGUAUAGACCCGAAACCCGGUGAUCUAGCCAUGGGCAGGUUGAAGGUUGGGUAACACUAACUGGAGGACCGAACCGACUAAUGUUGAAAAAUUAGCGGAUGACUUGUGGCUGGGGGUGAAAGGCCAAUCAAACCGGGAGAUAGCUGGUUCUCCCCGAAAGCUAUUUAGGUAGCGCCUCGUGAAUUCAUCUCCGGGGGUAGAGCACUGUUUCGGCAAGGGGGUCAUCCCGACUUACCAACCCGAUGCAAACUGCGAAUACCGGAGAAUGUUAUCACGGGAGACACACGGCGGGUGCUAACGUCCGUCGUGAAGAGGGAAACAACCCAGACCGCCAGCUAAGGUCCCAAAGUCAUGGUUAAGUGGGAAACGAUGUGGGAAGGCCCAGACAGCCAGGAUGUUGGCUUAGAAGCAGCCAUCAUUUAAAGAAAGCGUAAUAGCUCACUGGUCGAGUCGGCCUGCGCGGAAGAUGUAACGGGGCUAAACCAUGCACCGAAGCUGCGGCAGCGACACUAUGUGUUGUUGGGUAGGGGAGCGUUCUGUAAGCCUGUGAAGGUGUACUGUGAGGUAUGCUGGAGGUAUCAGAAGUGCGAAUGCUGACAUAAGUAACGAUAAAGCGGGUGAAAAGCCCGCUCGCCGGAAGACCAAGGGUUCCUGUCCAACGUUAAUCGGGGCAGGGUGAGUCGACCCCUAAGGCGAGGCCGAAAGGCGUAGUCGAUGGGAAACAGGUUAAUAUUCCUGUACUUGGUGUUACUGCGAAGGGGGGACGGAGAAGGCUAUGUUGGCCGGGCGACGGUUGUCCCGGUUUAAGCGUGUAGGCUGGUUUUCCAGGCAAAUCCGGAAAAUCAAGGCUGAGGCGUGAUGACGAGGCACUACGGUGCUGAAGCGACAAAUGCCCUGCUUCCAGGAAAAGCCUCUAAGCAUCAGGUAACAUCAAAUCGUACCCCAAACCGACACAGGUGGUCAGGUAGAGAAUACCAAGGCGCUUGAGAGAACUCGGGUGAAGGAACUAGGCAAAAUGGUGCCGUAACUUCGGGAGAAGGCACGCUGAUAUGUAGGUGAAGCGACUUGCUCGUGGAGCUGAAAUCAGUCGAAGAUACCAGCUGGCUGCAACUGUUUAUUAAAAACACAGCACUGUGCAAACACGAAAGUGGACGUAUACGGUGUGACGCCUGCCCGGUGCCGGAAGGUUAAUUGAUGGGGUUAGCGGUAACGCGAAGCUCUUGAUCGAAGCCCCGGUAAACGGCGGCCGUAACUAUAACGGUCCUAAGGUAGCGAAAUUCCUUGUCGGGUAAGUUCCGACCUGCACGAAUGGCGUAAUGAUGGCCAGGCUGUCUCCACCCGAGACUCAGUGAAAUUGAACUCGCUGUGAAGAUGCAGUGUACCCGCGGCAAGACGGAAAGACCCCGUGAACCUUUACUAUAGCUUGACACUGAACAUUGAGCCUUGAUGUGUAGGAUAGGUGGGAGGCUUUGAAGUGUGGACGCCAGUCUGCAUGGAGCCGACCUUGAAAUACCACCCUUUAAUGUUUGAUGUUCUAACGUUGGCCCCUAAUCGGGGUUGCGGACAGUGUCUGGUGGGUAGUUUGACUGGGGCGGUCUCCUCCUAAAGAGUAACGGAGGAGCACGAAGGUUGGCUAAUCCUGGUCGGACAUCAGGAGGUUAGUGCAAUGGCAUAAGCCAGCUUGACUGCGAGCGUGACGGCGCGAGCAGGUGCGAAAGCAGGUCAUAGUGAUCCGGUGGUUCUGAAUGGAAGGGCCAUCGCUCAACGGAUAAAAGGUACUCCGGGGAUAACAGGCUGAUACCGCCCAAGAGUUCAUAUCGACGGCGGUGUUUGGCACCUCGAUGUCGGCUCAUCACAUCCUGGGGCUGAAGUAGGUCCCAAGGGUAUGGCUGUUCGCCAUUUAAAGUGGUACGCGAGCUGGGUUUAGAACGUCGUGAGACAGUUCGGUCCCUAUCUGCCGUGGGCGCUGGAGAACUGAGGGGGGCUGCUCCUAGUACGAGAGGACCGGAGUGGACGCAUCACUGGUGUUCGGGUUGUCAUGCCAAUGGCACUGCCCGGUAGCUAAAUGCGGAAGAGAUAAGUGCUGAAAGCAUCUAAGCACGAAACUUGCCCCGAGAUGAGUUCUCCCUGACUCCUUGAGAGUCCUGAAGGAACGUUGAAGACGACGACGUUGAUAGGCCGGGUGUGUAAGCGCAGCGAUGCGUUGAGCUAACCGGUACUAAUGAACCGUGAGGCUUAACCUU
Molecule: ribosomal RNA, 2902 nt
Filed under: Escherichia coli UMEA 3108-1
Lineage: Bacteria; Pseudomonadati; Pseudomonadota; Gammaproteobacteria; Enterobacterales; Enterobacteriaceae
Description: bacterial LSU rRNA
Rfam family: Bacterial large subunit ribosomal RNA
Source: RNAcentral